UACGGAGGGGGGCUAGCGUUGUUCGGAAUUACUGGGCGUAAAGCGCGCGUAGGCGGCUUUGUAAGUUAGAGGUGAAAGCCCGGAGCUCAACUCCGGAAUUGCCUUUAAGACUGCAUCGCUAGAAUCAUGGAGAGGUGAGUGGAAUUCCGAGUGUAGAGGUGAAAUUCGUAGAUAUUCGGAAGAACACCAGUGGCGAAGGCGACUCACUGGACAUGUAUUGACGCUGAGGUGCGAAAGCGUGGGGAGCAAACAGG
Molecule: ribosomal RNA, 254 nt
Filed under: uncultured bacterium
Lineage: Bacteria
Description: partial 16S ribosomal RNA
Rfam family: Bacterial small subunit ribosomal RNA
Source: RNAcentral